UUAAGGGCUCAGCUCCACAAGACUACCCCCUUCACAUGCCAGCAGCAAAUAUGGGGCCCAAGUUACCCACAUUUCUGCCCAGCUGACUACAAAUUCUGGUUUCCAUGACCCCCUCUCAGGUUUGAUAGUUUGCUAGAACAACUCACAAAGUGAAGGAAAAUGGUGUACUUACUAUUACUGGCUUAUUAUAAAGGCUACAACUCAGAAACAGCCAAACGGAGGAGAUGCACAGAGCAAGGUGACCAGUCCGCAUCCUGAUACUAUCUCGGAGUCCCCCAGCCAAGAAUCAUCUCAUCAGCAUAAACUCAGGCAAUGUUGAAAGGCAUUCAGAAUGGUACUGGCCAUGUAACAUCCUCAGGAAAAUGGAGAAAGGAGUCACAUCAUCUUCUGUGUUUGGAGACUGCUAUGUAAGCCAGAAUACUAGUCACACAGUGCAGGUGGGAGCGGCCGGGAAGUAACCUCCUUUUUUUUUAAGACUAAUACAUUUAUGGUAUACACCUGAAUUUGUGUUGCGGAAAUCUGAUACCCAUUGCACACAUUCUGUAUCAUGUUUAAAAUAAUUUCAACUUUUAUUUUAGAUUCAAGGGGUACACUUGCAGUUU
Molecule: long non-coding RNA, 602 nt
Filed under: Homo sapiens (human)
Lineage: Eukaryota; Metazoa; Chordata; Mammalia; Primates; Hominidae
Description: HSALNT0348700
Source: RNAcentral